This 576-nucleotide ribosomal RNA is filed under the name Fusarium solani. Its description in RNAcentral is "eukaryotic LSU rRNA". The stretch from base 190 to 343 matches the Rfam family "5.8S ribosomal RNA". Lineage: Eukaryota; Fungi; Ascomycota; Sordariomycetes; Hypocreales; Nectriaceae. The record is from RNAcentral.
GGAGAUAGUUCUCGUUGGUGACCAGCGGAGGGAUCAUUACCGAGUUAUACAACUCAUCAACCCUGUGAACAUACCUAAAACGUUGCUUCGGCGGGAACAGACGGCCCUGUAACAACGGGCCGCCCCCGCCAGAGGACCCCUAACUCUGUUUUUAUAAUGUUUUUCUGAGCAAACAAGCAAAUAAAUUAAAACUUUCAACAACGGAUCUCUUGGCUCUGGCAUCGAUGAAGAACGCAGCGAAAUGCGAUAAGUAAUGUGAAUUGCAGAAUUCAGUGAAUCAUCGAAUCUUUGAACGCACAUUGCGCCCGCCAGUAUUCUGGCGGGCAUGCCUGUUCGAGCGUCAUUACAACCCUCAGGCCCCCGGGCCUGGCGUUGGGGAUCGGCAGAAGCCCCCUGUGGGCACACGCCGUCCCUCAAAUACAGUGGCGGUCCCGCCGCAGCUUCCAUUGCGUAGUAGCUAACACCUCGCAACUGGAGAGCGGCGCGGCCAUGCCGUAAAACACCCAACUUCUGAAUGUUGACCUCGAAUCAGGUAGGAAUACCCGCUGAACUUAAGCAUAUCAAUAAGCGGAGGAA